CUGGAGGUAUCAGAAGUGCGAAUGCUGACAUAAGUAACGAUAAAGCGGGUGAAAAGCCCGCUCGCCGGAAGACCAAGGGUUCCUGUCCAACGUUAAUCGGGGCAGGGUGAGUCGACCCCUAAGGCGAGGCCGAAAGGCGUAGUCGAUGGGAAACAGGUUAAUAUUCCUGUACUUGGUGUUACUGCGAAGGGGGGACGGAGAAGGCUAUGUUGGCCGGGCGACGGUUGUCCCGGUUUAAGCGUGUAGGCUGGUUUUCCAGGCAAAUCCGGAAAAUCAAGGCUGAGGCGUGAUGACGAGGCACUACGGUGCUGAAGCAACAAAUGCCCUGCUUCCAGGAAAAGCCUCUAAGCAUCAGGUAACAUCAAAUCGUACCCCAAACCGACACAGGUGGUCAGGUAGAGAAUACCAAGGCGCUUGAGAGAACUCGGGUGAAGGAACUAGGCAAAAUGGUGCCGUAACUUCGGGAGAAGGCACGCUGAUAUGUAGGUGAAGUCCCUCGCGGAUGGAGCUGAAAUCAGUCGAAGAUACCAGCUGGCUGCAACUGUUUAUUAAAAACACAGCACUGUGCAAACACGAAAGUGGACGUAUACGGUGUGACGCCUGCCCGGUGCCGGAAGGUUAAUUGAUGGGGUCAGCGCAAGCGAAGCUCUUGAUCGAAGCCCCGGUAAACGGCGGCCGUAACUAUAACGGUCCUAAGGUAGCGAAAUUCCUUGUCGGGUAAGUUCCGACCUGCACGAAUGGCGUAAUGAUGGCCAGGCUGUCUCCACCCGAGACUCAGUGAAAUUGAACUCGCUGUGAAGAUGCAGUGUACCCGCGGCAAGACGGAAAGACCCCGUGAACCUUUACUAUAGCUUGACACUGAACAUUGAGCCUUGAUGUGUAGGAUAGGUGGGAGGCUUUGAAGUGUGGACGCCAGUCUGCAUGGAGCCGACCUUGAAAUACCACCCUUUAAUGUUUGAUGUUCUAACGUUGACCCGUGAUCCGGGUUGCGGACAGUGUCUGGUGGGUAGUUUGACUGGGGCGGUCUCCUCCUAAAGAGUAACGGAGGAGCACGAAGGUUGGCUAAUCCUGGUCGGACAUCAGGAGGUUAGUGCAAUGGCAUAAGCCAGCUUGACUGCGAGCGUGACGGCGCGAGCAGGUGCGAAAGCAGGUCAUAGUGAUCCGGUGGUUCUGAAUGGAAGGGCCAUCGCUCAACGGAUAAAAGGUACUCCGGGGAUAACAGGCUGAUACCGCCCAAGAGUUCAUAUCGACGGCGGUGUUUGGCACCUCGAUGUCGGCUCAUCACAUCCUGGGGCUGAAGUAGGUCCCAAGGGUAUGGCUGUUCGCCAUUUAAAGUGGUACGCGAGCUGGGUUUAGAACGUCGUGAGACAGUUCGGUCCCUAUCUGCCGUGGGCGCUGGAGAACUGAGGGGGGCUGCUCCUAGUACGAGAGGACCGGAGUGGACGCAUCACUGGUGUUCGGG
This 1462-nucleotide ribosomal RNA is filed under the name Escherichia coli. RNAcentral describes it as "partial 23S ribosomal RNA". It matches the Rfam family "Bacterial large subunit ribosomal RNA", at positions 1273 to 2720 of the family's 2925-position model. Lineage: Bacteria; Pseudomonadati; Pseudomonadota; Gammaproteobacteria; Enterobacterales; Enterobacteriaceae. The record is from RNAcentral.